Molecule: transfer RNA, 88 nt
Filed under: Alienimonas californiensis
Lineage: Bacteria; Pseudomonadati; Planctomycetota; Planctomycetia; Planctomycetales; Planctomycetaceae
Description: Planctomycetes bacterium CA12 tRNA-Ser
Rfam family: tRNA
About the family: Transfer RNA (tRNA) molecules are approximately 80 nucleotides in length.
Source: RNAcentral
GGAGAGUUGCCGGAGUGGUCGAUCGGGCAGGAUUGCUAAUCCUGUGUACCUUUCGGGGUACCGGGGGUUCGAAUCCCCCACUCUCCGC